RNAcentral lists this transfer RNA (76 nucleotides) under Candidatus Nitrosopumilus sp. Its description in RNAcentral is "Nitrosopumilus sp. tRNA-Leu". It matches the Rfam family "tRNA". From Rfam's summary of the family: Transfer RNA (tRNA) molecules are approximately 80 nucleotides in length. Their secondary structure includes four short double-helical elements and three loops (D, anti-codon, and T loops). Further hydrogen bonds mediate the characteristic L-shaped molecular structure. tRNAs have two regions of fundamental functional importance: the anti-codon, which is responsible for specific mRNA codon recognition, and the 3' end, to which the tRNAs corresponding amino acid is attached (by aminoacyl-tRNA synthetases). tRNAs cope with the degeneracy of the genetic code in two manners: having more than one tRNA (with a specific anti-codon) for a particular amino acid; and 'wobble' base-pairing, i.e. permitting non-standard base-pairing at the 3rd anti-codon position. The record is from RNAcentral. Lineage: Archaea; Thermoproteati; Nitrososphaerota; Nitrososphaeria; Nitrosopumilales; Nitrosopumilaceae.
GGAGGAGUAGUCAAGCCUGGCCAAAGAAAACUAAUUUAGUCUUAGGGGUUCGUGGGUUCAAAUCCCACCUCCUCCA